Molecule: long non-coding RNA, 1168 nt
Organism: Salvia splendens (bonfire salvia)
Lineage: Eukaryota; Viridiplantae; Streptophyta; Magnoliopsida; Lamiales; Lamiaceae
Exons: 3
Source: RefSeq, a predicted model, not a curated record
AAUUGAGCUAUGGAAGUAUGAUGAUAUUUAUGUUAUGAGGUGCAAAGUAUGAUGCGUUAUUCUAUGGAGUGUUUUAUACGAUGGAUGAAAGUUUAUGCGAAAGUAUAUUUUAGUUUUGAGUCGAAACUUUUACUUUAAAAGUGAGAUGUGGCAAUUUUAGGAAAGUGUGAAAGAGUUUGAAGAAAGCUUUUGUGUCAAAAUUUUAUGAAUGCAAAUGUGAAGUGCGAAAGUGUUUAGCUAUGAGAUGUGAAAAUGUUGUGUGUUUAUCUUGUGGUAUAUAUGACGUUAAUUGUGGUAGAUGUUGAGAUGUGAGAUGAUGAAGUAUGUUGCGAACAUAGAGUGCUUAUGUUGUAGACUAGAUUGUGUAUGCGCGAACCGUAGUUUUAAGUUGAAAUAAUCUAUCACUUUCCCGAGUGACGAAUACGAAUGAGAAUCUGAAAGUUGGGGUGAACCCCUAAUUUGUCAAGGCACGACGAGACAAGGAGAUCGAGAGUGCGAAUGGAGGCCGGUGGACCAUGAAACUUUUUCUUGGAAUUGCGUGAAACUUUGGAGCAAGCUAGGUGCGAACCAUUCAAAGGACGUAAGCAAAUUUCGGGACGAAAUUUUUGUUAAGAUGGGUAGAUUGUAACGCCCGACUUUUCCCUAUUCCUUUAAGUUGUUUUGGAUUACUGUCGAAUCUUUUUUUUAGCCAACUAUCGUUCCGUUUUAUUUUGAGAGCCUAUGGAAUUUAUUUUUUAAGAAGCCGAAAUAUUAAAUAAAGAUUCUGUAGAGAUUUUCCUCCUCCAUGAUCUGCAAAUAAUUUUGAAAAAAAAUAAAAUAAAUUAAAGUAAUGAAUGUCAUAUUAAAAAAAAGGGAAAACAGAAUCAUCCCACUCCCUAUCCCACGUUGAAACCGUUUCCACCCAUCCCACAAAUCUCUCUCAUAUCCUUAACCCCCUUUCCCCUAUAUUAAAUCUUCAACCAUUACUUCUUCUUCUCACCCAACGUAGCUGCAAAAAAGAAAGCGAAAAUCAUUCUUCAACUUCUACUCAAGAAAUUGGAGUCCUUUCGGCAUCAAGACCCUGCCUUUUUAGCCUUGUGAACUUCACAAUCCAAACUCAAUUCACAGAGGUGAAUCAUCGCAAGGGAAUCGUGAUCGCAAGGGAAAGAACGUAAUUUCAAAUUAAGCA